GUGUUGAUGUAGUGAAAAACAAAAUGACCAAAAUCAUAAAAAAAAAUCAGAAAUUGUUAAACUGUUUCAUUCAGAAACACUAGUGCAAGUCGUCCUGUUGAAAUCAUCAACAUGGUUUAGCCCAAUUGGGCCCAACCCUUGUAUAAAUUUGAAAUUCAAAAUUUAAUUUUGACUUUGGUGAAGUCAAGUGUAAAACCCUAAUAGCGUUGUGCUGAUUUGCUCGAUUCUUCACAGUAGCUACUUGUUUUGUUGAGGAGACAUGAAGGUUAACCUUUUGCAUGGCAUGCAGUAGCUUCAUGGACAUGGGGUGUCGAUGAUGAAACAUGUGCGAUAUGUAAGAGGGCUUUUGAUGGUUGUUGUGAUGCUUGUAAACUCCCUGGUGAUGAUUGCCCACCAAUAUGGGGUGCUUGCAAUCACGCUUUCCAUCUUCACUGCAUUCUGAAAUGGGUGCAUUCACAGACUCCUCAGGCACAUUGUCCCUUGUGUCGCAGGGAAUGGCAAUUUAAAGAAUGAACUUGAGCUUCUUCUGAAAUUACCAUAUCGUUGUAUGAUAAAUCAUUUUUCAUGUAAACCAACAAACAUUGUGAUUUGUUUGUUAAGGGUAGUGUUCAUUUGGAUAUGAAUUACCUUUGUAUAACGGAUUGACAUUAAGCGCAGCGUAAUGUAUUUGAGUUGAUUUUAACAUUGA
Molecule: RNA transcript, 688 nt
Organism: Helianthus annuus (common sunflower)
Lineage: Eukaryota; Viridiplantae; Streptophyta; Magnoliopsida; Asterales; Asteraceae
Gene name: anaphase-promoting complex subunit 11-like
Exons: 4
Source: RefSeq, a predicted model, not a curated record